This 552-nucleotide ribosomal RNA is filed under the name uncultured Acidobacteriota bacterium. RNAcentral's name for it is "bacterial SSU rRNA". It matches the Rfam family "Bacterial small subunit ribosomal RNA", at positions 355 to 897 of the family's 1533-position model. Lineage: Bacteria; Pseudomonadati; Acidobacteriota. The record is from RNAcentral.
UGGGGAAUUGUUCACAAUGGGCGCAAGCCUGAUGACGCAACGCCGCGUGGGGGAUGAAGGUCUUCGGAUCGUAAACCCCUGUCGAAUGGGACGAAUAAUUCGCGAGCUAAUACAUCGCGGAAAUGACGGUACCGUUAAAGGAAGCCACGGCUAACUCUGUGCCAGCAGCCGCGGUAAUACAGAGGUGGCAAGCGUUGUUCGGAAUUACUGGGCGUAAAGGGCGCGUAGGCGGCCAUCUGAGUCAGACGUGAGAUCCCCCGGCUUAACCUGGGAACUGCGUCUGAUACUGGAAGGCUUGAGUAUGGGAGAGGGAUGUAGAAUUCCAGGUGUAGCGGUGAAAUGCGUAGAUAUCUGGAGGAAUACCGGUGGCGAAGGCGGCAUCCUGGACCAUUACUGACGCUGAGGCGCGAAAGCUAGGGGAGCAAACGGGAUUAGAUACCCCGGUAGUCCUAGCCCUAAACGAUGAAUACUUGGUGUGGCGGGUAUCGAUCCCUGCCGUGCCGAAGCUAACGCAUUAAGUAUUCCGCCUGGGGAGUACGGUCGCAAGGCUGA